UGUCAGUAAUGAAUAAUCACA
This 21-nucleotide non-coding RNA is filed under the name Caenorhabditis elegans. Lineage: Eukaryota; Metazoa; Nematoda; Chromadorea; Rhabditida; Rhabditidae. The record is from RNAcentral.